This 393-nucleotide ribosomal RNA is filed under the name uncultured bacterium. RNAcentral's name for it is "bacterial SSU rRNA". It matches the Rfam family "Bacterial small subunit ribosomal RNA", at positions 30 to 426 of the family's 1533-position model. The record is from RNAcentral.
AUUGAACGCUGGCGGCAUGCCUUACACAUGCAAGUCGAACGGUAACGGGCCUUCGGGUGCCGACGAGUGGCGAACGGGUGAGUAAUGCAUCGGAACGUACCUUUCAGUGGGGGAUAACGUAGCGAAAGUUACGCUAAUACCGCAUAUUCUGUGAGCAGGAAAGCAGGGGAUCGCAAGACCUUGCGCUGAUUGAGCGGCCGAUGUCAGAUUAGCUAGUUGGUGAGGUAAAGGCUCACCAAGGCGACGAUCUGUAGCGGGUCUGAGAGGAUGAUCCGCCACACUGGAACUGAGACACGGUCCAGACUCCUACGGGAGGCAGCAGUGGGGAAUUUUGGACAAUGGGGGCAACCCUGAUCCAGCCAUGCCGCGUGAGUGAAGAAGGCCUUCGGUUGU